This is a non-coding RNA of Loxodonta africana (African savanna elephant), 7691 nucleotides long. The record is from the annotation of a RefSeq genome assembly. Lineage: Eukaryota; Metazoa; Chordata; Mammalia; Proboscidea; Elephantidae.
UCACUAAUAUACUCGUUUCACUUGUUUUUUCGGGUCUUCGUUGUAAAGAGGGCUCAACGGCAGCGUCUUUCUAUUCUGCCAUCUUGGCUCUGCCUCUUGACAAUUUUUUUUAAAUUGAUUAAUAUGAUCAUCUGAUUCUUUUUGGCCAAGAGAAUGGCGCCAUUGCCCAAAGUUGAGGAGGUGAGGCCAUCUCUUAUAUAUACCAACUUAUAUAUUUUUUCCUUUUUAGUAAAAUCUCUGUGAAAAAUAUGUAUUGCUUGCAUAUCACUUGGAGGAAUGUAUGAUGAUCAAAAUCAAGUUGUUCCAACUCAAAAGUAGGAGAAUGGAGUGGGGCAAUAAACCUCACAGUGUCAAUUCUAAUUGUUUAUAUGCAUUUUCGAAAACCUGGGCCAGGAGAAUGGAGCGACUUGGGGCCAAGGGGUUGGAGUCACCACUCAUGUGGACCAGGAGAAUGAGCUACCCAAAGCCAAAGGAGUAGGAUUGCCCUCCCACUGGGUCUGGAAGGUGGGGCCUCCACCCAGUGCCCGGAGUCUUCUGUCUAGGUUCUGGAGAGUGUGGCCAAUGCCCAGAGUUGGAGGUGGAGCCGUUGCUCAGAUGUACCUGGAAGACAGGAUUAUUUUUCAGUUAAGCCUUGAGAUCUAAUGAAAUUUGCUGUGCUCGGUUUUGGACUUGCUUGAUACCCAUGACCCCUCUUUUCCCUCUAAUUUCUUCCAUUUGGAAUGGAAAUGUCUACUCUGUCUGUUCCACUCGUAUUCUAGAUUUCACAGGUCCACUGAAGGAAAAGAAUUUUUGCCCCAGGGGAUGUAACACAACCAGAGUCUCACCCAUCCUUAAUUUAGAUGAUCUAGAAGAUGAGGUUUUGGAUUUGGUGCUGGAAUGGGUUAAGAUUUUAGAGGAUGAUAUGAAUGGUAAAUGUGUUUUGCACAUAAGAAUGACAUUAACUUGGGGGUCCAAAGGGUGGAAUGAUACGUGUUAAAUUGUGUCCCCCCAUCUAGCUUAAAAAGCGUAACAGAGUUUAUAAAGAAAAUAUUCUAUAUUCUACCUUGGUGAGUAGCCUCUGGGGUCUUCAAAGCCUGUGAGUGGCCAUCUAAGAUAUUCUACUGGUCUCACCCCUUCAGGAGAAUGAAGAAAACUAAAGACACAAGGGAAAGAUUAGUCCAAAGGACUAAUGGACCACAACUACCACGAUCUUCACCAGACUGAGUGCAGCACAAAUGGGUGCUGCCUGGCUACCACCACCAAGUGCCUGACAGGAUCACAAUAGAGGGUCCUGGACAGAGAUGGAGAAAAAUGUAGAACCAAAUUCUAAUUCACAAAGAAAGACCAGACUUACUGGCCUGUCAGAAACUGGAGAAAUCCCAAGACUAUGGCCUCCGGACACCUUUUUGGCUCAGUAAUGAAGCCACUCCUGAGGUUCGCCCUUCAGUCAAAGACUACAGGCCCAAAAAACAAGAGUAAAAGGGCACAUCAGCCCAGGGGCAAGGACUAGAAGCAGAAGAGGACAGGAAAACUGGUAAUAGGCAACCCAAGAUUGAGAAGGGAGAGCUUUGACAUGUUGUGGGUUGUUAAUCAAUGUCAUAAAACAAUACAUGUACUAACCACUUAAUGAGAAGGUAGUUUGUUCUGUAAAUUUUUAUCUAAAGAAAAAAAAAAUUUUUUUUAAAUCAUGUCCCCCCAAAAUAUGUGUUCAAAGCCUAACCCCUACACCUGUGAAUGUAGUAUAAUGUAAUGACUUUACUUCUAACCUUCCAUAAUAUAAUCUAACAUGAUAUAAUCAUUUUCCAUAAUGCAAUCUAAUACAAUGUAAUUAACUGAACUGUCGAGGUCAUACCAGUGUAGGGUAGAUCCUAAAUCUUAUCACUUCUGAAUUAUAUAAAGAGGAGCAUAGAUACACACACACACACACACAGAGGAAGACAGGCGCCAUGUGAGGAUCAUCUAAAAAUUAAGGAAUGAAAGAACAUCCACGACUACCUAUAGGAAGGAAUUGGCAUGACUGAGACACUGAUUUGGACUUUGAACCUCCAGAACUGUGAGAAAAUAAAUUUCUGUUUUUAAAAGUCACCUACUUGGGGUAUUUCUGUUACAGCAACACCAGGAAACCAAGGCACAGGAUAUUCAGAUUAUCUAUUUCAUAUUGGGGGAACGGUUGUAGUUUGUGUUUUUCAAGGAAUUAGUCCUUUUUAACUAAGUUGUUGAAUUUUAGUGUGUAGAGCUGUUCGAAGUAUUCCCUUAUUAUCCUUUUUGAUGUCUGCAUAUUGAUACCUACAUUUUUGAUACCUGAUAUUGGUAAUAUGAGUCGUUUUUCUUUGUCUGUCUUGCUAGAAGUUUGCCAAUUUUAAACAAAGUCCUUUUAAAGAAACAGCUCUUUUGUUUUAUUGAUUACUUCUGUUAUUUUUCUGUUUUGAUUUUACUGAUUUUUGCUUUUGUUUUUACUAUUUCCCUUUUAAUUCUUUCUUUGGGUUUAUUUUUCUCUUCUUUUCCUAGGUUCUUUGGUGGAAGCUUACAUUACUGGGUUGAGACUUUUCCUCUUUUCUAAUGUAUGUAUUUAGUGCUACACAUUUUCCUCUCAGUGCUAUUCUAGAUGUGGCCUGCAAAUUUUGAUGUGUUGUAUUUUCAGUUCCAUUCAGUUCAAUGUAUGUUUUCAUUUCCUUGGAGAUUUAUUUUGUCCUUGGAGUAUUUAGAAAUGUGUUGUUUAGAUUUCAAGUGUUGGAGGAUUUUCCUGCUAUGUUUUCUUAGUGUUUCUAUUUUGAUUUCACUGUGGUCAGAAAACACUCUCUUUAUGAUUUCAAGUCUUCUAAAUUAAAUUUGUUAAGGUUGGUUUUAUAACCCAGAAUAUGGUCUCUUUUGUUAUAUGUUCUGUGAGCACUUGAAAAGAACUUGUGUUCUGCUGUUAUUGAGUGGAGUAUUCUAUAAAUGUCAGUUGGAUUCUGUCAGUUGAUAGAUUUUUUUUUUUCCCACUGAAUUCCUAUAGGUUAUCAACAUUUUCUAGAAUUCCACUUCAGUUUAUUUCUAGUGUUUGGAAUGUAUCUGUUUGUGUAGCUUUUUUAGCUGUUGUUCUAGGAUUUAUGUUAUAUACACAUAACUUAGCACAGUCUACUGGAGUUAUUCCACCAGUUUAAAUGAUGCGUAGAAACAUUAUUUCCCUUUGAACCCACUUGUCCUUCCUGAAUUAUAAUUUUCUGUAAUAUUUUCUCUACGGACAUUUAGAACCUCAUCAGUGUUACAAUUCUUGCUUAAUCUGUCAAAUAUAAUUUAGAAAACUCAAGAAGAAAAUGAAAGCUGACAGUAUUUACUAUAUCUUUUUUUGCUUACUGCAUUCUUCCUUUCUGAUGUUCCCAGGCUCCUUCUUGCUAUGUAUGCUUUCUGUAUGCUCUCAAAUCACAUCUGACUCUUUAAUGUUCUUAAAACACAAGCGUGUAAGUUAUUAUUAUUUGUACUUCUGUAAUGUUUUUUAUACUGUUAGGAUGUUUUUAUAAUGCUUUUAAACACCUUUCUAUAAAUCACUUAUAAUGUAAAGUUCUAAAUAGAGAACUUAGAAUUAGAAACAUAUAUAUUUCUGUAAUGCUCUUUAACCAGUAAAUAUGUCAUUAGAAAGUUGCUCUAACCUUCAAAAUAAGAUAAUGAAAGUACGUGAAGUAGGUGGUAAAUAAGUUUCUGAAAUUAGGCUGUAUACAUUCACUCUGGGAUAUCAGAAUGUAACAUUAACCAAAUCUCUAUAAGUUAGCAAAACAUGAAUGUGUCACUGUCCUAGUCAUGUAGUGUUACUAUAACAGAAAUACCACAAGUGGAUGGCUUUAAUAAAGAGAAGUUUAUUCCUUCACAGUCCAGUAGGCUAGAAGUCUGAAUCAGGGUUCCUGCUCCAGGGGUAGACUUUCUCUCUGUCAGCUCUGGAAGAAGGUCCUUGUCAUCAGUUUUCCCUUGGUCUGGGAGCAUCUCAGCACAGGAAUCUCAAGUCUACAGGAAGCACUCUGCUCCUGGCGCUGCUUUCUUGGUGGUAUAAGCUCCCCAUGUCUUUCUACUUGCUUCUCUCUUUUUACAUCUCUAAAGAGAUAGGCUUAAGACACUAUCUGGUCUUGUAGAUCUCAUCAAUAUAACUGCCACUAGUGCAUCUCAUUACAUCAUAGUGAUAGGAUUACAACACAUAGGGAAAUCAUAUCAGAUGGGAAAAAGGUAGACAAUUACACAAUACUGGGAAUCAUAACUUAACCAAGCUGACACUUAUUAUGGGGGGACACAGCUCAAUCCAUGACAGUCACUAAAUAAUUCUGAUAAUAUUUAAUUAGCCAAUUUAGCCUCAAAACAUGUAGUAAACAAGAACAUAAAUAUGUCAUACAACAAUUCCCUAUUGGGCAAUAAAACAAUAUAAAUGAAUAAAACAUAAAUAUGUCCUACAAUGCUCUUCACUGACAAUAAAACAUACCAAUUAGAGUUGAAUAUGACAGCACACAAGGUACAUAAAUCUGUGGAGAUUUGGAGAAGACAGAAGCAAAAGUUCUCUCUGACUCUCCAACUGAAGACUGAGAAGCCUGCUGAGAUGCUGCUGGUCACAACUGACCUCAGACCCUAACCUCCUCUGAGUUGGAGGGCUGGUCAAGCCUCCUCCCUGAGACCACUUGUUAAAGGUAAAAGCCUGAAGUCUAAAGAUUUGGUCUCUAACAUGUAAACUAACAUUGUAAUUGUUAAUUCUGAUUCCCCAAUGCUAAAUGCAUGUCUUGAGGUCUUACCUGUAUGCCUUGAUGUGACUGCCUUGCAAUAAAUAAGUGAGCUUAUGCAUGACAAAACUGAACAACACUUUACUCUUAAGAUAAAAAUCUCCAGGACACUUCUUUUAUAAUUUCUUUUCUGUUUAGAGAACUUUCUUUAGACAUUAUUUUAGGUUAGAUUUGCUGGCUAUAAAUUCUAGUUUUCACUCAUCUGAGAAUUAUUGAUUUCACCUACCUUCUGUAGGAAAUUUUGCUAUGUAGAGUUGAGCCCAUUCACUGUACUUUUGAGUUUAAAUAAAAAUUAAAAAAUAAAAAUAAAUACAGCUUCGUUAUUCUAAUGUAUUUUCAUCUCAGUGCUGUUCUAGGUAUGUCCCGCAAAUUUUGAUGUUGUAUUUUCAUUUCCAUUCAGUUCCUCUUUAUAUCUUCAGAUUCUUUACUUACACUUUCUAUUUUCCUUUUUUAAUUUGCUUCAAACAUGUUUAUAAUUGCUCAUUGAAGCAUAUUUUGAUGGCUGCUUUAAAAUCAUUGUCAGAUAAUUCUAACAUCUUUGUCAUCUUGCUUUUGGAGUCUGUUGAUUGUCUUCUCAUCAUUCAAGUUGCGAUUUUCUGGUUCUUGGUGUGAUGUAUGUUAUGAGACUGUGCAUCUUGCUUAACUUUUUGUUUUAGGUGUUUUUUCCUGAAAGGAGAAGACGUGGUGCUGCCAACUUACUGCCAGGUGGGUAGAAACCCAGGUUCUCCAUUCAGCCUUAGUUGACACUGGAGGGGUGAACUUCUUACUACUGUUGCCGGAGAAAGGGUAUUGAAGUUCUGUCUCCCCACAUGGCCUUCCCUGACACUGUGGUAGGGGUGGCCUUGCUACUACUGAAUGAUGAUGACUGUAACUAGGCAUCCUCUGACAUCACCCUGGGUACAGGGCAAUGGGCACCUCAUUACUCCUGGUAGUGGUGGAAGCCCAGGCUCCCCACAAGGUUUCCACUGAUCCUCCGUUGUAGGGAAGUUCAUUACCAGCUGAUGAAGUGGGAGAGCUCAUGACCAGCUGCUGCUGAUGAUGAUGAAAAAUUACAGUUUUUCUGGAUUUUAUGAUUUUUGAGUUAUUUGUUUUUAAAAAUGUGUAAUUUGUUUUGAUUUUAUUUCUCAUUCCAAAACAUUAUUGUCUUUUUUGCACAUUUUUUAAUUCAUAAUCAUGUGUGUUUUUUUUUUUAAAAGAUCUCAUUUUAUAAGUUUCAAGGCCUAGAAAACCUAAUUUCUCCUAAGUACAUGAUCCUGAUUCUUUGAAAUUCAACCCUAGAAAGGCAAGAAGGAGGUGGGAGACGGUUUGCAAAAUUUCUGAAUUUCUCCUUAGCUCUCUAUUUGGCCCCUGGAGGGCAAUGUUGCAUACAUUGGAAAUGGCUUUUCUAUAAAGGGUCAGGAUAGCCUCAUAAAAGCCUUCUUUCCCCACAGCUUAAGGAGGUGCCCCGACUGAGCAUUUGAUAUUUGUUUGCGAGGAAUCUCACAGAAGGGGGCUGCUUUCUCACUGCUUGGCCAUGACCUUGGUGCUCAUCUUGAUGCUUGGGGUUCUCCUGUCCCCAAGAGGAACUGGAGCCCAGGCGGUGACCCAGGCUGACAUCCAUGUCCCUGUCUCUGAAGGAGCCCCUCUGAUGCUGAGGUGCAACUACUCAUCUUCUGUUCCACCGACUCUCUUUUGGUACGUCCGAUCCCCUAACGAAGACCUCCAAGUUCUCCUGAAGUACACGUCAGGAAACAUGCUUGUGUCAGGCAUCAAAGAUUUCGAGGCUGAAUUUAGGAAGAUGGAAAACUCCUUUCACCUGAGGAAGCCAUCAGAUCAUUGGAGAGACUCGGCUUAGUACUUCUGUACUCUGAGUGACAGAGUGGCUGGGGCUGCAGGGUGAACUGAACACAAACUACCUGAGGCAUUGUAGCUUAAAAGACUCAGGGUCUCAGCAUGUUCUGUGAAGGCAAAUAGUUCAGAGGAAGCAGAAUCUGGGGAAGUGUUUAGUUUCUUUGAAUAUCUUGGAUUUAUUUGCUGUUUUGCAAAAGGAGGACUCAGAAGUUAUCUGAGGUACAGCGUUAGUAUCCUAGAGGUCAAGAUUCUAGAAGGCAGGUGACUAUAGGAUUUUCACUUGCUUCUGUGUUAUUUGAGACAAUGAUGAAGUGAGAUGCACUGAGGCUAUUAUGUCAGUUGAGAUAAAGCAAACCAGUUCUGACACAUGGCUGCCCCGUGUGUGCCAGAGCAGAACUGUGCUCCAUAGAGUUAUCAAUGCCUGACUUUUUGGAAGUAGUUCUGCAGGCCUUUCUUCUGAGGUGUCUCUGGGUGGACUAAAACCUCCAACCUUUCAGUUAGUAGCUCAGCACAUUAACUGUUGUCACUACCCAGGGUUUCAGGAAUCCUCAUUUUCCAUCUCUUUUAUCUCGAAAUCCAUCUACAGAGAAUUAUUAUUAUUCACUGGGCUUGGGGCAAGAGUACAAACUAAAAUUAUUUUCAUAUAGAUUUUCAAGGAGUUAUUUUUUAAAUUCAUUUAAAAUAUCUAUUAAGACUAAAAAAGCAAGAUAGGAAUAAUUAAUAAUGAACUAUUUCAAUAAAGCUUAUUUAAAUAAGGCUCAAUUUUUAUUUAAAUAUCUUAAAACUUAAUUGAACUGUAGGUAUUUUUUGCAAAAAGAGAACUAUUCAGUUUUAGUUUCCAUGACACUGUAAUUGCUAAAGAAUCAAUGUCACUGUGUAUUGCAGGUUCAGCAGAGAAUAAAUAUAUACAAUUUGAAGAGUAAUGUUGCUUGAUAUACAAAGUGUUUCAGCUAUCGUGAGCAACUGCUGUGCACACUGUGCUGAGUUGUGGGUGCCCUUCUGAACCACAGAUGAGUACAUAAAAGAGGCAAGAAAAUGGAUCGUCAGCACUCCUGGAACCUGGACCCUAUUAUGCAGGAAUCUGUUGCAUUCGAGCCAUCUGAGGAAAAGAUUGACCUAGUUCAUGAAUUUGUCUUUUCCGUAAGU